AUGGUGGGGGUUGAAAUAAGCGAUUGUUUCCGGCAUCUUAUUGACCGGGUAUGCCAGCGCCUCAAAUGUUGGAAGGUGAAAGUUCUGUCUUUGCAGGGCAAGGAAAAUUUACUAAAAUCGGUAGCCCAAGCAAUACCAUCUUAUGCAAUGCCCGUAUUCAAACUGCCUAAAGGAAUUUACAAAACAAUCACUGAUGAGUUGGAUGGAUUUUGGUGGGGUGACAAUGAGGACAAGAAGAAGAUGCAUUAGUUCGCAUGGUGGAAAUUAUGUGUACCGAAGAAGAAAGGGGAAUUGGGAUUUAGAGACCUUCACAGUUUUAACCUUGCUAUGUUAGCAAAACAGUGUUGGCGACUGGUCCAGAACCCUGACUCCUUAUGUGCACGCGUUUUGAGUGAAAAGUAUUAU
Molecule: ribosomal RNA, 405 nt
Filed under: Triticum aestivum (bread wheat)
Lineage: Eukaryota; Viridiplantae; Streptophyta; Magnoliopsida; Poales; Poaceae
Description: partial small subunit ribosomal RNA
Source: RNAcentral